RNAcentral lists this long non-coding RNA (1449 nucleotides) under Gallus gallus (chicken). RNAcentral describes it as "lncRNA (ENSGALG00010006298.1)". Lineage: Eukaryota; Metazoa; Chordata; Aves; Galliformes; Phasianidae. The record is from RNAcentral.
CCCAAUAUGAGUGCAACAGAGUCUCCCUUUAUUAUCCGCUACUUACACAAAUAUAUAAAUCGUGGCGAACAUGCGUCAGCGUGUAAUUGGCUGAAGCAUAGUGAAAAGCCCCCUGCCUAAGAAUACUAUUGGUCGUGCAUGUUUUCAUACCAUUCCACUGUCUUAAUCUCUUCCCAGAUCAAAGGUUUUUCUGGCUCUGAUAUGAAACAAUUUAUUCCUUGACGGCAAAGAGUAUAUUCAAGAGUCAUUUGUAUUUAGAAGACUUAAUACAAAAAUGACACAACAAAGUUUUGUGUUCAUACCAGUUCUGAUAGAGGAAAACGAUUAAAUAAAUUCCUAGUACAAGCGAUUUUCAUUCAGUUGAGGCUCCGGAGAAGUAGGAGCUGCUUGCCAUGUAUGAACUAAUCUAUAACUAGAAGCCUGAGGAGAAUCAACUCAAUGCCUCCAGUGACUGCUCUUUCUGCGUCAGGUGGCAACACUGUCACUAAAUUAGAAGGAAGAAGCUCCAAGAAAUCCAGCUGAGUAUGUGUGGAGAAUAUCUGUGCACUUUUGGCACCACCACCACCAAUAAUUUUUCUUUUCUUUUCCCAUUGUCUAGAUUCUUUCAGCUCAUUACAGCCACAUAAGAUGUAGAGCCAGUCAUAUAUGAAACUCAUGGUCUCAUGGUGUUAAUCUGUCCCACAGACAGAUGUCCAAAAAAGAAAGAAGAGGGCACAAAAAUGAAUAAAUAAAUAAAUAGAUAGAUAAAUAGAUAGAUAGAUUCUGGAGGAUGGUAUGAACAAGUUGUAGAUUUUAACUUGUAGGUAUUUAUAUUUCUUAAUGACUCAAACUUCAAUUUCUUUCAACUUAAAAGUUUUAAAAUCUAAUAACAUAUAUAUACACAUACAUAUAUUUGUCUGACAAUGCUGGAGAAUUUUAAAUUUGAAAGUAUUAUUACGAUAGUCUGAAAAACAGCCAUACUUUAGAGGGUUUUUUUGGACUGUUUCAGUUAAGAAAAGUAGUCAAUGAUGGGGUCAUGCAUUUAUUUGACACAGCCAUUUUCAUUCACUAAAAAUAAAGAAAGUGCUGUUUCUCUGAGAACAGGAAUAAACAAAUUACAGGAGACAAGUUCUGUGCUCAAAUCCUCAAGGGCUGUUCAGACAGGAGCUGACCUAAGCCUUCCCUUUGGGUUCCUUUCAGGACAACAUGUAUUUUGCUUUCCACUAGCUGUGUUCAUACUGUCUAGUUGACAUGAAAAGCUUCAUGAGAUUUUCUUCAAAAGUACAUAUUAGUAUAAUCAUAAGUGAGGUAUAAAGACUAAAUAAGCAGAAACCUUUUUCUAUACUUCUAUUCUUUCUGAAUGUUGUUCCUUGAAUACUGAACAGAACUGCUAUUUUUAGGCUUGUAAACACUCAGCUGCAUGUUAUCUUAUAGCUUCCUGAUCACUUACUGACAGCUUUUGAUUUACUU